RNAcentral lists this long non-coding RNA (485 nucleotides) under Androctonus crassicauda. The record is from RNAcentral. Lineage: Eukaryota; Metazoa; Arthropoda; Arachnida; Scorpiones; Buthidae.
GCAUGAUCAUUACAUAACAAGCUUUUUACGAAGAGUGAUUUGUUUAUAUAUAUAAAAUUCAGUUUAUAUAAAUUGAACUUGAAUUUUAUUUAUAAAAGGUGUCUCAAAAAGAACACCAGAUUUGAAACUACUAUAAAUCAAAUUUAUGUAUUUGAAAAAAGCAAACAAAACACACCAUUCUAUUCAAGAGAUGUUGAGGUUUAAACGUGAAACACAAUAUCUGGCACAUGAUCUCCCUACUAUCCUUACAUGCGAUUGCUUGGUCUGUGAAAUUAACCAUCACCUGCUCACACAUUUCCCCAUCAACUUUGUCGAGGACACGCUGAAUUUCUUGUUUGAGUUCCAACAGAUUAGGGGUUUGUUCUAGUAAAUUUGUGACUUAGCAUACCCCCAUCGGAAAAAGUCACAAGGUGUCAGGUCAUAAGAUCAAUGUGGGUAGGUUUGGUCUCCUCAUAACAAGAUUAGUCUGUCCGGGAACUUUUUAC